ACUAGUGACAGUGAGUAAGGGUGUGACUAGUGACAGAGAGAGGGAGGGUGUGACUAGUGACAGAGUGAGGGAGGGAAGGGGUGACAAGUGACAGAGGGAGGAAUGGGUUGACUAUCACUGUGUCACCCCCUUCCUCACUCUGUCACUAGUCACCCACUCCCUCCCUCACUCGAUCACUAGUCACCCCCUCUCUCACUCUGUCACCAGUCAUUCCCUCACUCUGUCACCAGUCAUCCCUUCCUUCCCUCACUCUGCUACUAGUCAUCCCUUCCCUCACUCUG
This is a non-coding RNA of Pelobates cultripes (western spadefoot toad), 281 nucleotides long. Lineage: Eukaryota; Metazoa; Chordata; Amphibia; Anura; Pelobatidae. The record is from the annotation of a GenBank genome assembly.